RNAcentral lists this ribosomal RNA (245 nucleotides) under uncultured bacterium. Its description in RNAcentral is "partial 16S ribosomal RNA". It matches the Rfam family "Bacterial small subunit ribosomal RNA", at positions 524 to 768 of the family's 1533-position model. The record is from RNAcentral.
UACGAAGGGUGCUAGCGUUGUUCGGAAUCACUGGGCGUAAAGCGCGCGUAGGCGGCUUUCCAAGUCAGGGGUGAAAUCCUUGGGCUCAACCCAAGAACUGCCUUUGAAACUGUUAAGCUGGAGUGUCGGAGGGGAUAGCGGAAUUCCUAAUGUAGUGGUGAAAUACGUAGAUAUUAGGAGGAACACCGGUGGCGAAGGCGGCUAUCUGGACGACAACUGACGCUGAGGCGCGAAAGCGUGGGGAU